Molecule: small nuclear RNA, 161 nt
Organism: Alligator mississippiensis (American alligator)
Lineage: Eukaryota; Metazoa; Chordata; Crocodylia; Alligatoridae
Rfam family: U1 spliceosomal RNA
About the family: U1 is a small nuclear RNA (snRNA) component of the spliceosome (involved in pre-mRNA splicing).
Source: Rfam
AUAUUUACCUGGUAAGGGAAAUACCGUGACCGGGCAGGUGGUUUCUCCAGGCCGAGGCUCGCCCCUACCUGCGCGAGACUGCUGACUCCUGCGAUUUCCCCAAACGCGGGGAACUCGAGUUCGCAAUUUGUGGUAGUGGGGCUGCGCCCGUGCUCUUCCAC